This is an RNA transcript of Peromyscus leucopus (white-footed mouse), 2467 nucleotides long. RefSeq lists it as uncharacterized. The record is from RefSeq and is a predicted model, not a curated record. Lineage: Eukaryota; Metazoa; Chordata; Mammalia; Rodentia; Cricetidae. The transcript has 4 exons.
GACCACAUAGUGGUAUUCUGUAUUAAAGACAAAAACAAACAAACAAACAUACAAAAAAACCAAAGGCAGGCAGGUUAAGUUCCUCUGACCUCUUUCUGUCCAGGCAACUGCUGCUGACAGGUACUCUCUCAGUUAACCCUUCCUGGUAAUGUUCUCACAGACCUGCUUGGCAGCCUGGCUCUUAGUGGACUCUAGAUCCAAUCAAGCUGAUAACCGUGAUUAGUGUCACACAGUGAGAGCCCAGGCUGUAUCAUCUCACAACCCAUCUGUGGACUCUGUGACCUCAACACGCCCACCCAGAUUUGUCACAGGAAUAGAAGUCGGGCUGACAAAGGAAGGUCAGACACCUGGGAAAACACCAUCAGAGCACAUGCACCGAGAACAGAUCAUGUGACCAGUUCUUUCAUAGAAUCUGGAACUCACCAGUUUAGCCAGGUUGGCUAGCCAGUGACCUCUGGAGUGCCCUCCUCCCUGCCCCGGGAAUCACAGCCAUGGUGCCUCAUGACAGGAUGUCUGUGUGUGUGCUGAGGCUCAAAUGCAGGCACUGUGAUUGUGUGCCAUGGACUUCAUCCGCUGAGCCAUCUCUCCAGCCCAUGGCCUGGGUUUUGAGAGGUGAACUCGACCAGACUUCAGCCAUUGGCAGAACCCACAGAUUCAUUUCCUGGCCUGUGGAAAGGGCUGACGCCCAGUGGACAUCUUUGAGGUUCUAUCGAUAGCCAAGAGUGUAAACAAAAUAUGGCUUCUGUCUAAGGGGAUGGGUGGAGGGGACCAUUGGUGGAUGCUACCCUUCUCAUGGCUUUAAGUCUCUGUUGUGGGUUCUCGUCCCUAUUCUGUUCCCUAGUACUUAGCUUAACGUGCUGUAAUUUAAACCAUCAGCGUCCACCUUCAAAGACCUCACAGAACAUAGUUACCGAGGGCGCAAACACUGAAAAGUUCACCUGGCUACUGCCCAGUCACACCGAUGUGCCACAUGGGGUUUCUACCCCGGAGUAAGUUUCCUAACAGUUGAUCUGAUGAACACCGUUUCCUACCCCAGAAGGAGGACCCCAGGCAGCUUGCACUCCUAUGUGGGGGAGCCAGAACAAUCCUGAGUUUCCCCAGGACUCCAGAGAGUCUCCUGUGAUGUAAUACUGGAGCUGCUGGAAGGUAUGGGACCAUAUGACCUUUGAUCUCCACAUGGGAUAGGAUACCAUGGCAACCAGACCUGAACAGCAGCAGGUGGCAGGCACCGUGGAUGGCAUGGAGCACCAAGGACGGAGUGGAACGUGUACUCUCUGGAGGUGAGGAGAGGCCUGCUCUGCUCAUAGUACAUGACAGCCAUCGCCCAAGGGAUGAUGGGACAAUAAUGUGCUCCAGAGGCAUUGCCAUGCUUCAGCUGUCAGGCCAGACCACCGUCUUCACCAGAAUCCCGAGCUAACCCAACUUUCCCAAGCUAUGGAAUCGCCAGAAAACAAGCCCACAGAGGCGUGGCCUUGCAUGCUCAGGAACAGAUGGCCACACUCAGCAGCCUCAGGAGGUGCCAGUCCUGCUGGUACCCAGCGAUGCCCAGGACAGAGUGGUUCUGCAAGGUCUGCUAAGUCUGGAGCUAAGAAGCGCAGCUGGCUACAUCCCGCCACCGAUCCAUGCCACACCUCCGUCCUCACCACGCGUCUCAUGUCUCACUCCUCACACUUCCCGGGAUUUGCGGUCAGAGGAGGUAAAGGCCCAAGAGCACUUCAUAGGCCAGCUUGGUGUCAGACCACACAAAGAUGGAGGGCACUGGACCUCAGCCCCACACAGUGCUUACCACCCAGGGACCAUGGAAGACCUCAUCAUUAACAGAGCAGCCUGAAGCACACAGUCAUCCACUGUAUGUCCAGGGACCACUCUGGGAAGAUUCACUCCCUAGGUACCUGCCUCACCCUGGAACUCCUCCCUCGGCCUCUGCUCUGGAACUCUGACACCUUCCUCUACAAGGCCUUCCCCAGAGCUGGGCUGACACCAGGCGCUAAACUUCCAGAAUGCUGAGAGCUAAAUGAACCUCUUCUCUCCAUACAUUAACCAGCCUCAGUUAUGUCGUUAUAGUCAAGGAAAAUGGACCUGUGUAUCUUUUAUCUUCCUACUUAUAUAUUUAUGCUUUUACUAGAUAUGUUGGUGUGUGCGUGAGUGUGCGUGUGAAUGUGCGUGCAUGUGUGUGUAGUGUAUGUGCAUGUAUGGGCAUGCUCACCCUUGCCGGCAGGCAUGAAUGAAAGUCCAAGGUUGGAGGUGGAAUGACUUCUAUCAUUUCUCUACCUUAAUUUCCGAGGCUUUGUCCCCUACUAAAUCUCAAGUGUGGUGUUUGGUUAAGCUGGCUGGCUGGGGAGCCUCUGAGAUUGGCCCAUUUUUGUCCCCUUGCACAGAGACUGCAGGUACACACUGCCAUGCCUGGCUUUUACAUGGGUACUGGAGAUUCGAACUCAGGUCCUCAUGCUGUACAGCAGGUAUUUUA